This is a long non-coding RNA of Oncorhynchus tshawytscha (Chinook salmon), 686 nucleotides long. The record is from Ensembl. Lineage: Eukaryota; Metazoa; Chordata; Actinopteri; Salmoniformes; Salmonidae.
CUUCAGUCAUGGUUCUGUCCCUCUUUGCCAAUUUUUUGUCAAAUGUCACCAGCUCUUUCAGGUCCUCUGCCUGCGUUGAACCAGCUCUUUCAGCUCCUCUGCCUGCGUUGAACCAGCUCUUUCAGGUCCUCUGCCUGCGUUGAACCAGCUCUUUCAGCUCCUCUGCCUGCGUUGAACCAGCUCUUUCAGCUCCUCUGCCUGCAUUGAACCAGCUCUUUCAGCUCCCUCUGCCUGCCUUGAACCAGCUCUUUCAGGUCCCCUGCCUGCGUUGAACCAGCUCUUUCAGGUCCCCUGCCUGCGUUGAACCAGCUCUUUCAGGUCCCCUGCCUGUGUUGAACCAGCUCUUUCAGGUCCUCUGCCUGCGUUGAACCAGCUCUUUCAGGUCCUCUGCCUGUGUUGAACCAGCUCUUUCAGGUCCUCUGCCUGCGUUGAACCAGCUCUUUCAGGUCCUCUGCCUGCGUUGAACCAGCUCUUUCAGCUCCUCUGCCUGCGUUGAACCAGCAGUCUGAGUACUGAAGUUUUCUCACAAACAAAGAAAGGAAUAUCCUGUGCAUCUGGCAGAAUGGAGGGGAGGUUCCUGCUUCCCUGGAUUGUCUACAGUUCUGACAAACAUGGCCUGUGUCCCAAACGGUACCUUAUUCCCUUUAUAGUCUGCUACUGUAGAGCAGGGCCCUAGUGCACUAUAU